Molecule: ribosomal RNA, 423 nt
Filed under: uncultured bacterium
Lineage: Bacteria
Description: bacterial SSU rRNA
Rfam family: Bacterial small subunit ribosomal RNA
Source: RNAcentral
GGCCAGCAGCCGCGGUAAAACGUAGGAGGCGAGCGUUAUCCGGAUUUACUGGGUGUAAAGCGCGUGCAGGCGGUUGGCUAAGUUGGGUGUGAAAGCUCCUGGCUCAACUGGGAGAGGUCGCUCAAGACUGGCCGACUGGAGAGCAGUAGGGGAAGGUGGAAUUCCGGGUGUAGUGGUGAAAUGCGUAGAUAUCCGGAGGAACACCAGUGGCGAAAGCGGCCUUCUGGACUGCAUCUGACGCUCAGACGCGAAAGCUAGGGGAGCAAACGGGAUUAGAGACCCCGGUAGUCCUAGCUGUAAACGAUGUGAACUUGGCGUUGGUUGGGUAAAACCGACCAGUGUCGAAGCAAACGCGAUAAGUUCACCACCUGAGGACUACGGCCGCAAGGUUAAAACUCAAAGGAAUUGACGGGGGCCCGCACA